CGUUCACAAGCCCAAACAAAGUUGGCGUGCUACAAUAUCGGACAUUAGAAACCAACCAGAAAGUUCGGAAAAUUGUCUGAAUCCUCCUUUGGCCACGACUGCCGACACAAGCAAGAAAACAAAGUAAAUACCGGAGACUCUGGAGGAAUAACGGGCGCUUAAAACGGAGGUAGACCGGACAAGAGCUAAAAAGCCGGGUCAACAUAAACGAUGGGGGACACUUCUGGAUCUUGGUGACCCUGUAACCUUUCUGCUGGACCUACAAUGAGGCGCAGUCAGGUGCAAAGACAGUGUGUUACUAUCAUGAGAAAGCAGAAAGUGUUUGGUCCCUGGUACAUUCAGGAGGCAGAUUGAAGAGAUAGAUACAACACUUGUGAUUUAGCUGAAACACUGAAAUUGAGAUUUUGGACUGGGACAACAAGUUUGCAAACCAUUCGUCCCCUCAUCUCUUUGCAUCAAAAAACAGCUCUUGGUACGGGGCUGAUCCAGGGAUACCAAAAGAUGAGGACACCCUCACUGCUGUCUCCUCUCAGACUCGCUUCAUCUCAGCCCUGCACUGCACAACAACUACAACCUGAGACACCACCAAUCAUGUAUGCUCUCUCAAAUACAUGCAGAAACAGACACACGCCCAUGCACAUGCUCGUGCACAGCUAAGGGUUACUUUUGCAAAAGCCUUAAAACCAUUGUGCCUUUCGGUACAAAACACAAUAUGAUUCAGGAGCAAAUGUAAGUAAAGAACAGCGACUUUACUUCCAAUAAGUAUCAUCCGACUGUUUUCUGUUUCAGAGUCGAAAGAGUUAAAAUUCUGUUUGAAUAAUCCAGUAAAAGCAUUUGAAUACAAAAAAAGCUUCUCUUGCAGAAAACCUAUACUUCUUAUUAUCAAACCCACAUUUUGCUUUACUUCCAUAUUUUAAUAUUACAUAAAUACAUCUCCAGAAAACUAAAGCCUCCUUGUGUUCAUGAAUAGUACAUAAGAGCUUCAGUAUUUAAUUUUAAUUGAAUCGCGGGGGUGGGCUGUCUGAGUCAGCACAUUAUUUAAGUGAAGGGAAGACUGAGCAGAGUGUGCUGGUAGCUGCAUUUCCACUUCACUGCAGCUCCAGUUGUUACAGCACAUUAAACCAUGGAUUUCCUGUCACUCUUUCUGCCUACCUGUGUUACAUCCCCGCCACUUAGGGUUCCAGAGACCUCCAGUCUCUCCCAGCAUGCACUGCAGCCGAGGCCGGGAGAAGACAGGGAGACUAAAGCAUUAGAGGAAAUUUGAAGCCUGAAUCCACUUUGACUUGUCAGAGGAAACAGGGACUAAAUGGACUGAAUAUUGCAGAAAAGAUGGAUUUGUGGCUUAAAUAGGGACUGAAACUUUUAAAGCUGUCAAUCAUGUUAUAAAUAUGAAGGUGUACCACUUCUGAAUACAGCAUCUGCAAUAAUUAUUGUUGAGUAUCUGUCACAUUUCUAUUUCAGGACUCCAUAUGUUGGUGAGCGAUCUGCUUAAACAGCUGGACGUAACAGCUGGAAGCAAAGCCACUACUUAAGAUACGCUUAACUCUGCAAGACGAAAUGCCCACAAAUGUCAACACUUGGGUCCUGUACAGUGACUUUUGUUUGAUUGAUUGAUUUAUUCUUUUGUAUUCUUCACAACUGUUUCAUCACACUGUAAUUCUUCUGGAUUGUCGUCUAUUCGUGUUGGAUUGAAUCUUCUUAUGCGUGACAAUUGCUUGGAUUCAUUCUACGCUAACCAAAAAUAUUGCAACAGCUUUGUCCUUGUAAGUUUAGUUCCUACCCAAGGUUUGAAACUGCACAACUUAGCCUAACCACGAAUUUCCACCACAUCCGAAACGGCGUGAUACCGAGUUGUCUCUAUAAAGACAGACACAUAGACAUAUAAGCAGUAGAUUGUGUCCUUUCAGAGGAGGAAAUCUACUUCUAGACUUCUAGAAUCAGCAUCUCCUCAUCCAUGGUAUCAUCGGGGUGAAAUGACGUCUAUAAACCUUUCACUUGUUCGUCUCCGCCCAUUUGCAUGGUCCUUUCCAGCUCAGGUUAAUCUGUUUUGAAUUUAUCCGGCAUGCUCUGGCGUCGGGAGGAAAUAGAACUCUUGUGAUCAGCUGCGGAGACCGUUGAUCUGCAGCAAAACAGAAAGAAGCCGAUGGAAAUUGACACAUUAACUUAAAUGGUUACGAUCAGCGACAAUCGGUGUAUAUGGCCUUUUCGUAUAUAACUUAACAUAUCUGAUUUUUACAUGUAACUAUGAACUGUGCAAUUCUGAUUUGUUCUAAUCCGACCCAGGCCUCUUUUGUAUGUGGAUAUAAAUCAGACAUGUAUCCGAUGUGACUGCAGUGUGGACGCUCAGGUCGCGUUCAUCCGACCUAUACCUCAUCAAUAUGCAAAAAACGUCACCAUUGUUCGAUAACACAAACAGGCGCGGAAAGCAAUUUUUGCUUCGUGCGCAUGCGGGUCACUUCACGGACGCAUUCCGUUCACAUUAGAUGCCACAUUCGUUGUUGUAAUGUAAACGACUGCACAAAAAGAUCGGAUUUAACAAAAAAUCAGAACUGUGCAUCAGAACCUGCAGCAGUAGCCGUCUAUUGCUCAGUGGGAGUCAUGUUAAGAAAGUCAGUGUCAUAUAAGCAGCGUCACAUACUUAAAAUCAGCCUAACAUGAGUAAUGAAGAUACAGCUUUGAAAGCAGUUUAAUGCACACAAGUGAAACUAUGGUCCCCGUGAAGUAAUGAAUGAAUGAGUGAUUAGCCUCUUUGCAUAUUUAACCGCACUGUCGUAUUUCUUGAUCUUGGUUAAGCUAAGGAGGCGUGCAGACGAGUUUGCUUUGGCUGUAAAAAUGCUGCAACACAUGGCAAGAAGAAAAACCCUGACAUUUGUCAUGUCAUUAUUACAUCCAAUCUGUUCUUGUCAUACAAAGAGAAAGGCCAGUGUUUGUGGAAUAAAGGCUUUUUGCAGCUAUUCCAGUCUCAUCUCUCUAAUGCCCCGUGUUUUCUUUCUUAUUAAUCAUUCACAACGCUGAAAUGAAUAGAAAUGCGCCAUGUUGUAUUGAUCCCCGGGACUUAGGGCUUCUUUUUCUGCAAACAUUGUUUGGUGUUUGUGCUGGAUGAAUAAUUGUCAUGUCGGACAAGGUGUCAGCAAUGUCACGGUGAAAUGACAGGGAGCGAAAAGAAAAAGUGCUUGAAGGCUUGAUAUCAGCCAUCAGGGAAAUGUAAAAAAAAAAAAAAAGAGAGAAGUAUGCUCAUGCCAUAUAACAACCAAUAUGCCCUCAAAGUCCUUUGCUGUCAGCAAGUACACACGAGUAGUCACAAACACAGAGCCAGGUUGUUUUUCUUUCAAUGAACAUCUCAGGUACAGUAAUGCAGCAGACCAACCAGGAUGUAUUGAAGCUGACAGGUUGUCUGGAAGCUAUUCUCAAAUUUAUUUCCAUGACAAGCAGUUAUUUCAAACACAUCAUGUGCCAUUGCUUCUGUCAGCACCACAUGUUAUACCAGGGAAAGCAAUCUCACUGACAGCAUGUAUUGAUACAAACACGGUGUCCUGGCGAUAGGUAUUAAUCAUGCUUUGGAUGAUCAGCCUCCAGGUUUUUUGCUUUGGGUAAGAAAUGGACGCUCUGUUGUGUAAUCUGUCACCGGCUCGACUUAAAAACGACACAAGAAAAAGCAAAAAGAAGAAUCAUCAACGUGAAGAUUAAACAUUGUUUUAGUGGGACAUAACACGAGUUUAACCCGCCUUACAUCAUUUGUGUGUUACUUUAAAGCAACGCCGCUAAUGAUAUCUUGUAGAGGGAUACUGGCGUAGAGAGAUCAAAGCAAGUCGGAUUGAUCUUGUGUUGUUGGAGCCACUAAAUUUCGCAUUUUGAUGUCGUCCAAAAUAUUGGGAUCGCAUUGCCUUCGAAUUCGAGUGUGCCAUUUAUAUCGCUUUGAUCCUGGAACACGAUCAGAAGUAUCAUUAUACUUAUAAGACAUGAAAGCUGCUGGAGAAGGCUGGUUUUAGUUCAGCUUUAUAUUUCCUUAAAGAUUUUAGUUAUAAAUUAUGUCUCUGUUCACUAUAUGGGUUUAUACAUAAUUCAGAUCUGCUUUAAUUGAAGUUCUGGCAUCAACUGUCGAGAGCAUUAAUCUCUGAAGUCUCUGGAAACCUAAACCCAGCAAGUAUGCUGAUCAGGGUAGUUUAAAGGCUGUAUUAACCUGAUAGGAAGUGUCUAAAAGUAUCUAUGGAUAACGGUGCAAACCAAUCAGAACAAUUGUGAUCAUAUAUUAGGAUUACAGUUAUUCAAAGAUGCACCGAUUUUUCACAUCUUGUACUUUUUGUUUGAUUUUAGCUAUUUUGGCACCACGAGUUAGGAUAUGGUUUAAGCCUAAAACCUACAGGAUGUGUGCUGGGUGCAAAAAAACUGGCUAGAAGUGCUGGGCUCUGAUUGGUUAUUCCUUAUGGCUGUGAAAUGUCAUCGUCUGUCAGGUCAGGGUUACGAUUAAGAUUCAGUUCGAUGAUGUUCUGUAAUGUUCUGUUCGAUGUACAGAGCCGAUGAUGUUUCCAGCUUUUCCAGCCAAUCAGAGGCGAAUGAGGCGGGACUUUCCCCUACUAUCCUUCAAAAAAAAAAAAAAAUCCCGUGCUGGGCACAUUUUGUCAACGUUGCAUGCUACGGUGCAAAUAUGUUCCCAUUCUAAUCAAUGCAGCAUGGCACACAGAGAGCAUUGCAGUGCGUCUUGCACCGUCCCAGAAGCGUCUCUACUUGCUACUUAGCUAAAGGUACCACGGCGAGACUAUUUUCGAAAGAGCACAGAGAGGAUCGUCCAAGACAGGAUGUCACGGACUGGAGAGAACUUUGGCUGAAUUUUGCGCCCAACACAUACGGGUUUUCAGCAUUACACUGUCCUGUAAACUCAUAAGAGGUUUGGCGUCACUGAAUGGGAACGCCACUGCACUCGAACCAUGAACCACUGGAAAUACGGCGCUUAGUUACAUUUGUACGACCCAAGAAAGACUCUUAUAACACAGAUCUUUCGUGUUGCAGUAUGGCCAGUCCAAAACUUGGGAAGGGGAGUCCAUAUGUUCAUCCAUCAGUGUUCGAAUUUCACUUGUGAAUGGGUGAAUGUGAGGAGUAAUGUAAAACACUGCUGUAUGAGUAUCAUCCAUUCACCAUUCAUUAUAGCUUUACAAGCAACAGCAGAAAGGGCCUCUGAGCUGAUAUUGGAUAUGUACGAGGACUGCUUAUUCUAAUUUGGAAAGAGAACUUUUUGAAACUCAUUAUUUAGAGUCUAAUUGGAAUUAAAAGCUUUUGAAUUGGCAGCAAAGGGCUCAUUUCGAGGAACAUUUUAAGUCCUGAAUACCUCCUCCAUACGCUCCAUCCUCGAAAAGCUUGCUCUCAUUUAGAUUAAUACAUGUUUUGUUGUAAAUUUGUCCAGAGCGGUUGUGUUUAAAUGAAGGCUGUAGGUGGAAUAAACCAGAUUAAACACCUGGAUAAUUGGUUUUCGCUGCUAUGACAAAAGAAAGCCUCUGUGCCCCCCCUCGAGGUACCGACCACUGACUUUUAUGAGCAAAACAAAUUGGUAUCACAUCUUCCACCUGGCAGGACAUCUUCACACCUGGACAUAGGUGGCCUUUUUGACACUAAUAGGAGUCCAGGAGGGAAGGAGAAGGUGAAAUCCAGCUGAAAACAAGCCAGUGGCAGACAGCUGAGGCCUAUUUGGCACUGAUCUCCUGACUGACUCACUGAGAAGUUCACAGAUGGCUCACUUAUUCAAGGCUUGGGGUGCAAGGUAAACAAAGUACCGUGGAUGUUACUAAUCUGACCCUGGUGGUAUACAGUAGAGGCCUGUCAGAGAGGUGCGAUUCGCUGUACGAGAAAAUAGACUGUCCUUUUUCUUUUUGUCUUUCACACUUUAACGAACUCUUCUGAUUCCCGUCAUUAUUUCUGCUAAUUGAAUUCCUUGUGUUCGGUCAGGGUUUGCUAUUUUUAUCUCUCGCCCGGCGUAUAGGGUGAGAGUGUGGAGCUUAUUAAAAUGCAACUUUCCCUUCGAACCAUUUGCAUCUAAUUUUGUACAAUUUUUGCAAAAUAUUCAUACAGCACAGCAUUCUAUGGCCUCCUGUCUCAUUUGUAUUCCAGUGAUGUACGCCGCUAAAUAGCCGUGGCUUGAUAGACUGAUUCACAAUAUAAUGUCAAUCAAACAUUCUGGACACUACCACCAACAGGCACCAAAGGUAUCGGGUCAUGUUUUAUUCAUACUGCUUUAAAAUUUUCAUUUUCUUCUGACUUCCUGCAGUAAAAAAAAAAAAGUACAGGAGUGGUUUGGGGAGCAAAAUAAAUGUAUAAAAGGCGUUCAUGACAAAGCAGCUGUAAGCUCGAUAUGUUUAUUCAGUUCUUAUCUGUUUGAUUAGAUUCAUUAGAAUAAUUAAACAAUCCGUCUACAGAGCAUGGUGCUCCGAAUAGCAAGAGGAUGAACCUCUUCCAAGUGCUUAAAAGAUUGACUGCCGAGUCAAGUCAGUUUCCAGGGUAAACGAGGACGUAUUUGCAAUGUCAUAAUGAUUUCCUUGUCGAUUGUGCACCGAAUCCACAAAGAUAUCAUGUACGGUAAGUACCAGAAACUCGUGUCUUAAAUACAGCAUCAGAUUCAAGCCGGGUUUUCUUUUCAGCCAGUAUGACGGAGAAUAAAUAGGCCACCUUGUACGCUUUGUAGAAAAAAAACGAGCUCUCGUAAUUACACAACAAAGACCAAGGACAGAUUAUGCUCAUGGCUCAUUACAACUUUCAAGUGUGCCUCUAGGACAUUAAAAAUAUUUCUUUUAAGAAGCACGGGAACUCGGAUCCCUAAUUAUUGUGUAAGAAAAUAUCAAAUAGAGCGAUACUGCUGCUCUUUUUGAUGUUUCUUUGGACAUAUUUGGGGCGACAGGAACCUCAUUAUGAGCUUGUGCUGCCUGGACGGCUUGAAAUCAACCUUUGUGGCGUUGUCAUGACAGGUAAGACAAAAGUAGUGGAUGGAAGUGAUCACUGAAUGGGUGGAUGGACAAAAACAUCGAUUUUAAGGGUUACUGUCACAUUUUUAUCAGAAUCAACUUUGAGAAAUCAGGCAGAAAUUUGGAUUUCGAUGCAUCGUCAACUUGGACCAACGCUGGAUCCUUCCUAUGUGGACCCGGGUCAAAUAUUAUGACUUACAUGAAUUCAGCUUGUCUGUGCUGUCAGAGGUCACUUCCUCAACCAAGACUUCCUGGACAAAAAAGUACAGAAAACAAAGUAAAUACCGGAGACUCUGGAGGAAUAACGGGCGCUUAAAACGGAGGUAGACCGGACAAGAGCUAAAAAGCCGGGUCAACAUAAACGAUGGGGGACGCUUGGGGAUCUUGGUGACCCUGUAACCUUUCUGCUGGACAGGUAAACCGCUUUAACAAAGUAAGACAAGUGUCUGUAACAGAAGUGUUUCUUGUCAAACGGAC
This 7424-nucleotide long non-coding RNA is filed under the name Xyrichtys novacula (pearly razorfish). Lineage: Eukaryota; Metazoa; Chordata; Actinopteri; Labriformes; Labridae. The record is from RNAcentral.